CAUGUCUAGUAUAGCAAUUAUACCGUGAAACUGCGAAUGGCUCAUUAAAUCAGUUAUCGUUUAUUUGAUAGUACCUUACUACUUGGAUAACCGUGGUAAUUCUAGAGCUAAUACAUGCUAAAAACCCCAACUUCGGGAGGGGUGUAUUUAUUAGAUAAAAAACCAAUGCCCUUCGGGGCUCCUUGGUGAUUCAUGAUAACUUCUCAGAUCGCAUGGCUUUACGCCGGCGACGGUUCAUUCAAAUUUCUGCCCUAUCAACUUUCGAUGGUAAGGUAUUGGCUUACCAUGGUUUCAACGGGUAACGGGGAAUUAGGGUUCGAUUCCGGAGAGGGAGCCUGAGAAACGGCUACCACAUCCAAGGAAGGCAGCAGGCGCGCAAAUUACCCAAUUCCGAUACGGAGAGGUAGUGACAAUAAAUACUGAUACAGGGCUCUUUUGGGUCUUGUAAUUGGAAUGAGUACAAUUUAAACCUCUUAACGAGGAACAAUUGGAGGGCAAGUCUGGUGCCAGCAGCCGCGGUAAUUCCAGCUCCAAUAGCGUAUAUUAAAGUUGUUGCAGUUAAAAAGCUCGUAGUUGAACCUUUGGCCUGGCUGGCAGGUCCGCCUCACCGCGUGCACUUGUCCGGCCGGGCCUUUUCUUCUGGAGAACCGCAUGCCCUUCACUGGGUGUGUUGGGGACCAGGACUUUUACUUUGAAAAAAUUAGAGUGUUCAAAGCAGGCCUUUGCUCGAAUACGUUAGCAUGGAAUAAUAGAAUAGGACGUGCGGUCCUAUUUUGUUGGUUUCUAGGACCGCCGUAAUGAUUAAUAGGGACAGUCGGGGGCAUCAGUAUUCAAUUGUCAGAGGUGAAAUUCUUGGAUUUAUUGAAGACUAACUACUGCGAAAGCAUUUGCCAAGGAUGUUUUCAUUAAUCAGUGAACGAAAGUUAGGGGAUCGAGACGAUCAGAUACCGUCGUAGUCUUAACCAUAAACUAUGCCGACUAGGGAUCGGGCGGUGUUUCUAUUGUGACCCGCUCGGCACCUUACGAGAAAUCAAAGUGUU
Molecule: ribosomal RNA, 1040 nt
Filed under: Paraphaeosphaeria michotii
Lineage: Eukaryota; Fungi; Ascomycota; Dothideomycetes; Pleosporales; Didymosphaeriaceae
Description: SSU rRNA
Rfam family: Eukaryotic small subunit ribosomal RNA
Source: RNAcentral